GGUGGCUCAGUGGUAGAGCGCUUGCCUCGCAUGCAUAAGGCCCUGGGUUCAAUUCCUCAGCACCA
RNAcentral lists this transfer RNA (65 nucleotides) under Dipodomys ordii (Ord's kangaroo rat). It matches the Rfam family "tRNA". Rfam says of the family: Transfer RNA (tRNA) molecules are approximately 80 nucleotides in length. Their secondary structure includes four short double-helical elements and three loops (D, anti-codon, and T loops). Lineage: Eukaryota; Metazoa; Chordata; Mammalia; Rodentia; Heteromyidae. The record is from Rfam by way of RNAcentral.